Molecule: ribosomal RNA, 496 nt
Filed under: uncultured Eubacteriales bacterium
Lineage: Bacteria; Bacillati; Bacillota; Clostridia; Eubacteriales
Description: bacterial SSU rRNA
Rfam family: Bacterial small subunit ribosomal RNA
Source: RNAcentral
AGAGUUUUGAUCCUGGCGUCAGGAUAAAACAACUGGCGGCGCACAUAAGACAUGCAAGUCGAACGAACUUAACCCUUGUUUUACAUUGGGAGCGGGUUAGUGGCGGACUGGUGAGUAACACGUAAGCAACCUGCCUAUUAGAGGGGAAUAACAGUGAGAAAUCAUUGCUAAUACCGCAUAUGCUCACAGUAUCACAUGAUACAGUGAGGAAAGGAGCAAUCCACUAAUAGAUGGGCUUGCGUCUGAUUAGCUAGUUGGUGGGGUAACGGCCUACCAAGGCGACGAUCAGUAGCCGGACUGAGAGGUUGAACGGCCACAUUGGGGCUGAGAUACGGCCCAGACUCCUACGGGAGGCAGCAGUCGGGAAUAUUGCGCAAUGGAGGAAACUCUGACGCAGUGACGCCGCGUAUAGGAAGAAGGUUUUCGGAUUGUAAACUAUUGUCGUUAGGGAAGAUAAAAGACAGUACCUAAGGAGGAAGCUCCGGCUAACUAUGUG